UGACAAACACAAUACCUCCAGGUCAGAAAAUGUGAGCCACCUCCAAUACAUAGACUCAGGUCAUCAAAGCAAUUAUCAAAACCAGAGUUCACAAGCCCUAACAACAAUUAAGAUUACAAAAUACCAAGGUUCACUGCAACAAGGCUACUCUGCAAAAAGUGUGGGACAUGAACCCUGGCCUCAAAACCCAGGAUCUGCCCUCAGCUUUUAUCAGUCCUCACCCUACACAAUCUCACUGGGCAAUCUCAACCCUGGUUUCAACUACCUUCUAUGCUGAUGCCUUCUAAAUGUACUAUUGCAGCUAGGAACACACCUAAGCCUCAAGCCUAAUGUCCCUCUGCCUCUAUCACACAUGGCAGGACAGAAAGAAGAUGGGUUUUGGAGCUGGACGAUAUUAGCUCUCUCUGACACUGAUUAGCUAUGUGACUACAAGUCAGUUACCUAACCCCUCAGACACUUGAUUUCCUCCCCUGUAAAAUGAUAAUAAAUUAUACCUUGUAGAGAUGCUAUGAGGAUCCAACAAAACAUAGGCAACCAACCACAAACUUAUUAGGACUACACUCAAAACUCCUCAUUUUUACAACUUUCCCUAUUAUAAAUUAUUCCUAAACACAGCUUUUUACAACCACUUAACAGCAGCAUGCUCCUCAGACUCCCAUGUCACCAUGGAAACUUCCCCUAGUAUACAGCACUCAAAGAGUUCUAGCGGCAUUCCAGCACACCAAAUGGGUAACAAACAUCUUCAAGAAUGACCGCCCUGAUUUUUAAUACAAUUCAAAGACCUUAGAGCAACGAAAACUUCAGGGAAAUUCCCCAGGAAACAGUGGUGACUUCACAGGACUCCUAUUUUCAGAUGCCUCAGUCCAAUCCAUACAGAAAAACCCCUAAAGAAACUUCCAAACAUGCUUAAGAAGUAGAGAGAAGAGUAUGAAGAACUCCUGUGUAGUCUUCACCCGGAUUCAAGGAUAUCGACAGUCUGCCAUCCUCCACAGCUGACUUCUAUGUGCAUCAAAGGUUUAAUUGACAAUGCUGGGAGAGACAACAAUGCUUGAGGAGUUUAGGACAAAGAGAGAACUCAUCCAGCUAGGGUGUCAGGGAAGGCUACACACAGAGGGUAGGAUUUGAGCUGGGUAUAGAAGAAUGUGUUGGACUUUAAUGGAAGAAAAGAAAAGAGGGCAGGACAUUUUUGAUCUAGGGAAAGGUAGGACCAAAGGACUCAUCCCCUCAUAUCUGAAUUACAACAGUGCUGGCUGGUCUCUGUGCCUCCAACUACCCUGCUCAUUGAUUAGUUCUCCAAAAAUCCCAUCAUCACCAGUUCACAGUGACUUCCUACAAUGACUUACUAUUGACAACGGAACCAAAAUAAAUUCUUCAGUGUAAUGCUUAAAGCCCUCAAUGAACUAGCUGAUAUAUUUUGUUUCUAUUCCUCAAAAUAGCCCCUUCCCAACCCCAGCCAGCUCCUGGUGUUUUUUUUUUUUUUUUCAAACUCUCGCUCAUGUAUCUAAUUCCUUUGGACCUCUCUCCACUAACCUUGUUACGAAGCUCACAGCGCCCUUUAUUUCAUUUGUCUGUUCAUUUAGGCAUUUACUAAAGCACCUAUUAUGUGUCAGGCCUUGAGCCAGAUACUAAGGAUACAAAAAGCCACGGUUCCUGCCUAGUAUUCCAUGAAAACUUCUCUGGGUAAACAGUCACCAAAUGACCCCUUCUCACUUCUCAUUUCUCCAACAGCUCUGAAUCACAUACAUUCUUGUUUGCCUAGAUGCUGACUUAGAAUUGUUUUCUAGUUGUCAUACAUCUUAUCUUACAGCUUUUUACAAGUAUCUUAAAUAAGACCAAUAUCUUCUAUUUCUUUGGUACAGCCCUUAAAUUCUAGUAUAGUACUAGGCAACUCGUAGGCAUUAAAGAAACAUUUAUUGAAUUGAAAAAUUAGAUAUUGAUUUAAGGCAACAAUUAUUAAAUGGGUCACUGAACUUACUGAGAAUCUGAUAAAGUUAUGGCCCCUCUCCCUGGAAAAGUCAACUUAUGAAUCUAUACCCAAAUUCUGCAUAGUAUAGAGAAGGAGAAAAUCACAGAAUUCCUGAAGCCUCUCCUUGGGCCCCUGAAAAUGGACUCAGCUCCCAAGACUCUAAAACCAGUAAUUUAGGGGGGUGGGUUUUUGUUUUCCUUUAUAAUAUUCAACCAAUAAUAUGUUAUAUUUUAACUUUAAAAAAUCUUACACUAAUAAACAAAGAUCAAAAUUUGAAAUGUACAUAUCCUUUGAACCCAGUAUUUGCAUUUCUAGGAAUUUAUCUGGCAGAAAUGCAAAGAUCGAUCGAUUGAUCUAUCUCAAAUGCAAAGAUACACAUAAAAGAUAACUCUACUGAACUGUACACUUAAAAAUGAUUCAGAUGAUAAAUAUUAUGUUACGUGUAUUUUACCAUUUUUUAAAAAGCAUGCACACAUAAGGAUGUUAACCAAAGCACUCUCUGUAACGAUUAAAAAAAAAGGAAAUCACCUAACUGACCAAUAGGAAACUGGUUAUAUAAAUCAUGAUAACUUAUCUUAAGAGAGGACCUUGAAAACACACAGAGUGCACUAGAGGCUAGCUACAAGUCCUGGGCCAAGUUUCUCCUUCAACUGACUAAAGAAGGUGCUUUUAAAUAGCUCAUAAAAGAAAGAGAACAGCAUUUAGGCAAGACACAAAGCAGUUACUGGCUUCCUAGUGGAGAGAGGGAGAGCAAGAUGGGC
Molecule: non-coding RNA, 2727 nt
Organism: Equus caballus (horse)
Lineage: Eukaryota; Metazoa; Chordata; Mammalia; Perissodactyla; Equidae
Source: RefSeq, a predicted model, not a curated record